RNAcentral lists this ribosomal RNA (216 nucleotides) under uncultured bacterium. Its description in RNAcentral is "partial 16S ribosomal RNA". It matches the Rfam family "Bacterial small subunit ribosomal RNA", at positions 116 to 334 of the family's 1533-position model. The record is from RNAcentral.
UAUAGGUAAUGUGCCCUAGAGAGGGGGAUAACAGUUGGAAACGACUGCUAAAACCCCAUAUGCCUUUAUCACAUAAGUGAGCAAGGGAAAUAUUUAUAGCUCUAGGAUCAGCCUGUACAGUAUCAGUUAGUUGGUGAGGUAAUGGCUCACCAAGACAAUGACGCUUAACUGGUUUGAGAGGAUGAUCAGUCACACUGGAACUGAGACACGGUCCAG